RNAcentral lists this ribosomal RNA (492 nucleotides) under uncultured bacterium. RNAcentral describes it as "partial 16S ribosomal RNA". It matches the Rfam family "Bacterial small subunit ribosomal RNA", at positions 29 to 507 of the family's 1533-position model. The record is from RNAcentral.
AGUGAACGCUGGCGGUAGGCCUAACACAUGCAAGUCGAACGGCAGCACAGUAAGAGUUUGCUCUUACGGGUGGCGAGUGGCGGACGGGUGAGGAAUGUAUCCGACCCUACUUUUUCGUGGGGGAUAACGUAGGGGAAGUUAAGCUAAUACCGCAUACGACCUACCGGUGUAAGCAGGGGAUCUUCGGACCUUGUGCGGUUGGAUGAGCCGCUGUCGGAUUUGCUAGUUGGGGGGGUAAAGGCCCAGCCAGGCGACGAUCCGUGGCCGGUCUGAGAGAAUGGUCGGCCACACUGGAGCUGAGACACGGUCCAUGGUCCUACGGGAGGCAGCAGUGGGGAAUGUUGGACAAUGGGCGCGAGCCUUACCCAGCCAUACCGCGUCUGUGGAAGAGGCCUCCCGUUUGUAAAGCCCUUUUGUUGGGAAAGAAAAGCAGCAGGUUAAUACCCCGCUGUUCUGACGGUACCCAAUGAAUAAGCACCGGCUAACUUCGUG